CAGGCCUAACACAUGCAAGUCGAACGAACCCUUCGGGGUUAGUGGCGCACGGGUGCGUAACGCGUGGGAAUCUGCCCUUUGCUUCGGAAUAACAGUUAGAAAUGACUGCUAAUACCGGAUGAUGUCUUCGGACCAAAGAUUUAUCGGCAAGGGAUGAGCCCGCGUAGGAUUAGGUAGUUGGUGGGGUAAAGGCCUACCAAGCCGACGAUCCUUAGCUGGUCUGAGAGGAUGAUCAGCCACACUGGGACUGAGACACGGCCCAGACUCCUACGGGAGGCAGCAGUGGGGAAUAUUGGACAAUGGGCGCAAGCCUGAUCCAGCAAUGCCGCGUGAGUGAUGAAGGCCUUCGGGUCGUAAAGCUCUUUUACCAGGGAUGAUAAUGACAGUACCGGAGAAUAGCUCCGCUACUCG
RNAcentral lists this ribosomal RNA (411 nucleotides) under uncultured bacterium. Its description in RNAcentral is "bacterial SSU rRNA". It matches the Rfam family "Bacterial small subunit ribosomal RNA", at positions 43 to 503 of the family's 1533-position model. The record is from RNAcentral.